GGGAAAGCUAGCUAUAAAUUAACUGGAGUAUCUAUUAAUUUAGAACAGAUACUCUAAAGUCUAUAGUAUUAUACUCAUCAAAACACGCAACACAUCCCCAAUAAUUGUUCUAGACGAAGAGAUAAGGUGUCGAACAAAGGGAGAUGUCGUGUUUGUAAAGCAUCACUAAAGUUAAAAACGCAAUCGAUUACAUUGAAUACAAACCAUUUCUUUGUCCUCUCGUCAGAUGCAUAAGAACCAAUUAUUCGAGUUACGAAGUGGUAGUCGGGCACCAGCACGUAUCAUAUAUGGCAAAGAGCUAGCCACAGCCUGAAUCACUAAUUAAUACUAUUAUGAAGAGUACUAAAUAUACAAUCAUGGAUCCAUAUUAGUCACGAUUAUGUGUUAUAUAUUUAUAUAUUUUUGAAUGACAAUAAGGUUUGGGUUUUAAAUUCCGUGAUUUUUUUGUAGAACAAGAGCAUGC
Molecule: long non-coding RNA, 463 nt
Filed under: Brassica rapa (field mustard)
Lineage: Eukaryota; Viridiplantae; Streptophyta; Magnoliopsida; Brassicales; Brassicaceae
Description: long non-coding RNA (BRAP_LNC003880)
Source: RNAcentral